GACGAACGCUGGCGGCGUGCCUAAUACAUGCAAGUAGAACGCACAGUUUAUACCGUAGCUUGCUACACCAUAAACUGUGAGUUGCGAACGGGUGAGUAACGCGUAGGUAACCUGCCUGGUAGCGGGGGAUAACUAUUGGAAACGAUAGCUAAUACCGCAUAAUAUUAAUUAUUGCAUGAUAAUUGAUUGAAAGAUGCAAUUGCAUCACUACCAGAUGGACCUGCGUUGUAUUAGCUAGUAGGUGAGGUAACGGCUCACCUAGGCGACGAUACAUAGCCGACCUGAGGGGGUGAUCGGCCACACUGGGACUGAGACACGGCCCAGACUCCUACGGGAGGCAGCAGUAGGGAAUCUUCGGCAAUGGACGAAAGUCUGACCGAGCAACGCCGCGUGAGUGAAGAAGGGUUUCGGAUCGUAAAGCUCUGUUGUAAGAGAAGAACGGGUGUGAGAGUGGAAAGUUCACACUGUGACGGUAUCUUACCAGAAAGGGACGGCUAACUACGUG
Molecule: ribosomal RNA, 505 nt
Filed under: uncultured bacterium
Lineage: Bacteria
Description: partial 16S ribosomal RNA
Rfam family: Bacterial small subunit ribosomal RNA
Source: RNAcentral